Molecule: ribosomal RNA, 486 nt
Filed under: uncultured bacterium
Lineage: Bacteria
Description: partial 16S ribosomal RNA
Rfam family: Bacterial small subunit ribosomal RNA
Source: RNAcentral
GACGAACGCUGGCGGCGUGCUUAACACAUGCAAGUCGAACGGAAAGGCCCUGCUUUUGUGGGGUGCUCGAGUGGCGAACGGGUGAGUAAUGCAUCGGAACGUGCCCAGUAGUGGGGGAUAGCCCGGCGAAAGCCGGAUUAAUACCGCAUACGACCUGAGGGUGAAAGCGGGGGACCGAAAGGCCUCGCGCUAUUGGAGCGGCCGAUGUCGGAUUAGCUAGUUGGUGGGGUAAAGGCUUACCAAGGCGACGAUCCGUAGCUGGUCUGAGAGGACGACCAGCCACACUGGGACUGAGACACGGCCCAGACUCCUACGGGAGGCAGCAGUGGGGAAUUUUGGACAAUGGGGGCAACCCUGAUCCAGCCAUGCCGCGUGCGGGAAGAAGGCCUUCGGGUUGUAAACCGCUUUUGUUCGGGAAGAAAUCCUCUGGGCUAAUACCCCGGGGGGAUGACGGUACCGGAAGAAUAAGCACCGGCUAACUACGUG